AGAACGAACGCUGGCGGCAUGCCUAACACAUGCAAGUCGAACGAGACCUUCGGGUCUAGUGGCGCACGGGUGCGUAACGCGUGGGAAUCUGCCCUUGGGUCCGGAAUAACAGUUAGAAAUGACUGCUAAUACCGGAUGAUGACGUAAGUCCAAAGAUUUAUCGCCCAGGGAUGAGCCCGCGUAAGAUUAGGUAGUUGGUGGGGUAAAGGCCUACCAAGCCGACGAUCUUUAGCUGGUCUGAGAGGAUGAUCAGCCACACUGGGACUGAGACACGGCCCAGACUCCUACGGGAGGCAGCAGUGGGGAAUAUUGGACAAUGGGCGAAAGCCUGAUCCAGCAAUGCCGCGUGAGUGAUGAAGGCCCUAGGGUUGUAAAGCUCUUUUACCCGGGAUGAUAAUGACAGUACGGAGAAUAAGCCCGGCUAACUCCGCGCCAGCAGCCGC
This 443-nucleotide ribosomal RNA is filed under the name uncultured bacterium. RNAcentral describes it as "SSU rRNA". It matches the Rfam family "Bacterial small subunit ribosomal RNA", at positions 26 to 518 of the family's 1533-position model. The record is from RNAcentral.